GGAGCUCCUCCCGGCGACUUCCCAGGCCACCUCCCCGAGAUACUGCCGCCGGCGACGUAUCCGACCUCCUGCCGCGGGCCACCAUUCUGACCUGCCGCUGCCGUCGUCAUCUCAACAAGUUAUGCAUAGCCUGCAGUGCUGAAACCAUGGAGAAAAAGACGGUGACUUCCGGCCAUCCCAGAACACCUGCCAUCGGUGACGUCCCUGACAAGCUGCUGCCCUUCACCUCCCCAACAAGCUACUAAUGGGCAAAAUGGACCGGUCGGUCUAAUCGGUGGAGAUAAUGUGCAAGUUCUCAGAGCAGUACGCCAGCUGGUCCCGUACCUCCACCGCCGCCAACGUUGUUGCUGUCAAGAUCCUGUUUCUCCCGGAGCUGAUGUUGCCGACGGCCACGUUCUCGGGCUCAUGCUGACGGCAACGGCCACCUCCCCAGCAAGCUACUCCUGUCCAUGUUUACUGCACAUUCUGCAUGGGAUGCAUCAAGGCGGCCAGGUGGCUGGCAAUUUUGAGUAUGGUCGAGUGGGUAGCAUCGAUGCGGAGCAGCAGAAGUCUCCUUUGUCCGUGCCUAGCAGCAGGAUGGUAGCAAGGUGCUCAGGUUGCAGCCUUCAUCCAAGAAGAAACGGAAAAAUUCGUUCUUCUCUCUUUCCGUAAGCACAAUUUGAGUGGAACACACACACAAACCAAUUGAAAAUCAGAUUGAUUGUUGUGUUUGGUUGCCAGCAAGUAGGACAUCCGGUCGGAUGGCGUUCUGAAGAUGUUGACGGGCAGAUGUUGGCUCCUCAUUCUGAAUUCUUUUCUCGAACAGAACAAACUUCUUUUUAAUUUAUAAUUCUGAAUGUUGAAUGCUGAUUGAGGGUGUGCUGCAACUCGAUACUGGAUAGUUUACCUGUUUACCCUAGUUUGGUAUGUAGAAUGGUGCUUUUAACUAUGUUUUGCUGUAACCUGGAGUUAGUCUUGUAUUUCUUGAUUUGCCUGGUAAGUGUAUAUAGCAGUAGCAUUAACAAAAAUCCAAUAUCUGCAUGUCAUGUCUAUGUUAAUUACUAGUGUGUUGUACCAAGUCAAAGCGGCCUUGUUAUAUUCUGUAGUCGACCUUUAUAUUGUUACUUUGGUGCAUACACUUUUGAACACACUAGUUGGUUCACUCUGCUAUAAAUAAAUCAUGAAAAAUUAGUAUGAUAACAUUUGUAACAUUCUCUGGCUGUGUUUUCUUUGACGUAUUAAAUGAUUGACCGGACUAAAAUUAUGUUGGUUGCUGAUCCAUGUAUUCCUGGUCUCUUUCUAUAUAUUGCAACUAACAAUGUUGGGCUACGGAGUACAAAGUUCAACUAUUAUUUAUUAGACCAAACUCUGAACCGUCUAUGAAAUGCACAAGAAAUCUUGCGAAAAAUGUUUCCUUUUGCAUAGGCAGUAGAGAAAGUGUGCAUGUAUUGGUAGAUGAAAAUUCAUUUCACUAAAGCAAAGCCUCUUGUUUGGAUAUGCAGGUCCAUGUUUGCUGCACAAUCUGCAUGGCAUGCAUCAAGGCGGCCAGGUGGCCGUCAAUUUCGAGCAGGGUCCAGAGGGUAGCAUGGAUGCGGAGGCAGACGUCCUCCUUUAUCCGUGUGUAGCAGCUUGCCGAUAGCGAGGUACUCAGGUCACAGCCUUAAUCCAAGAAG
This is a long non-coding RNA of Lolium rigidum, 1652 nucleotides long. RefSeq lists it as uncharacterized. The transcript is spliced from 4 exons. The record is from RefSeq and is a predicted model, not a curated record. NCBI's taxonomy places the organism in Eukaryota, Viridiplantae, Streptophyta, Magnoliopsida, Poales, Poaceae.